This 460-nucleotide ribosomal RNA is filed under the name uncultured bacterium. Its description in RNAcentral is "partial 16S ribosomal RNA". It matches the Rfam family "Bacterial small subunit ribosomal RNA", at positions 338 to 795 of the family's 1533-position model. The record is from RNAcentral.
CCUACGGGUGACAGCAGUGAGGAAUAUUGGUCAAUGGACGCAAGUCUGAACCAGCCAUGCCGCGUGCAGAAAGACGGCCCUAUGAGUUGUAACCUGCUUUUGUACGAGGGUAAAUCCCGAUACGUGUAUCGGGUUGAAUGUAUAGUACGAAUAAGGAUCGGCUAACUCCGUGCCAGCAGCCGCGGUAAUACGGAGGAUUCAAGCGUUAUCCGGAUUGAUUGGGUUUAAAGGGUGCGUAGGCGGUUGGAUAAGUCAGAGGUGAAAUCCCGGGGCUCAACUCCGGCACUGCCUCUGAUACUGGCGGGCUAGAGUGUAGUUGCGGUAGGCGGAAUGUAUGGUGUAGCGGUGAAAUGCAUAGAGAUCAUACAGAACACCGAUUGCGAAGGCAGCUUACCGAACUACGACUGACGUUGAGGCACGAAAGCGUGGGGAGCAAACAGGAUUAGAUACCCUUGUAGAC